AGGAUGAACGCUGGCGGCGUGCUUAACACAUGCAAGUCGAACGAUGAAGGCUGGAGCUUGCUCUGGCUGGAUUAGUGGCGAACGGGUGAGUAACACGUGAGUAACCUGCCCCAGACUCUGGGAUAAGCGCUGGAAACGGCGUCUAAUACCGGAUACGAGCUUCCACCGCAUGGUGAGGAGCUGGAAAGAAUUUCGGUCUGGGAUGGACUCGCGGCCUAUCAGCUUGUUGGUGAGGUAAUGGCUCACAAGGCGACGACGGGUAGCCGGCCUGAGAGGGUGACCGGCCACACGUGGGACUGAGACGACGGCCCAGACUCCUACGGGAGGCAGCGAGUAGGGGAAUAGUUGACACAAGUGGG
RNAcentral lists this ribosomal RNA (359 nucleotides) under uncultured soil bacterium. RNAcentral's name for it is "bacterial SSU rRNA". It matches the Rfam family "Bacterial small subunit ribosomal RNA", at positions 26 to 378 of the family's 1533-position model. The record is from RNAcentral.